RNAcentral lists this long non-coding RNA (330 nucleotides) under Neogobius melanostomus (round goby). Its description in RNAcentral is "lncRNA (ENSNMLG00000003333.1)". The record is from RNAcentral. Lineage: Eukaryota; Metazoa; Chordata; Actinopteri; Gobiiformes; Gobiidae.
GGGUUAAAGUCAUGUCUGUUUGACGAGCUGUAGCAGCUAAAAAGGGAAGGACCACUUCACCAAGAUACAGCAGGGAAAACGUGGAACAGCUUGUGCGCUUCUAACUUCACCCCCGUUUGGAGCUAUACCUUUGCAGGGAGAGGCUAAAUGCUAACAACAUUAGCGUGACUGAGCGCAGGCAUAAAGACCAGACAGUUUGUUUGCCGUGAUUGCCCGCCCCCCUCACUGCUCUAUGAAAACAGCUCCUCUGCUUCAGUGCUACAGUCUGCUGACUUGAAGUGAAGGUAAGUCUCCUCACGGCUCAGGUCUUUUACACAAAGAUCUUAUUAA